AACGAACGCUGGCGGCAUGCCUAACACAUGCAAGUCGAACGAGAUCUUCGGGUCUAGUGGCGCACGGGUGCGUAACGCGUGGGAAUCUGCCCUUUGGUUCGGAAUAACAGUUGGAAACGACUGCUAAUACCGGAUGAUGACGAAAGUCCAAAGAUUUAUCGCCAGAGGAUGAGCCCGCGUAGGAUUAGCUAGUUGGUGUGGUAAAGGCGCACCAAGGCGACGAUCCGUAGAUGGUCUGAGAGGAUGAUCAGCCACACUGGGACUGAGACACGGCACAGACUCCUACGGGAGGCAGCAGUGAGGAAUAUUGGACAAUGGGCGAAAGCCUGAUCCAGCAAUGCCGCGUGAGUGAUGAAAGCCUUAGGGUUGUAGAGCUCUUUUACCCGGGAUGAUAAUGACAGUACCGGGGGAAUAAGCUCCGGCUAACUCCGUGCCAGCCGCCGCCGUAA
RNAcentral lists this ribosomal RNA (449 nucleotides) under uncultured bacterium. Its description in RNAcentral is "partial 16S ribosomal RNA". It matches the Rfam family "Bacterial small subunit ribosomal RNA", at positions 29 to 523 of the family's 1533-position model. The record is from RNAcentral.